This 240-nucleotide ribosomal RNA is filed under the name uncultured bacterium. RNAcentral's name for it is "partial 16S ribosomal RNA". It matches the Rfam family "Bacterial small subunit ribosomal RNA", at positions 29 to 299 of the family's 1533-position model. The record is from RNAcentral.
AGCGAACGCUGGCGGCAGGCCUAACACAUGCAAGUCGAGCGCCCAGCAAUGGGAGCGGCAGACGGGAUAGUAACACGUGGGAACGUACCCUUCAGUUCGGAACAACCCAGGGAAACUUGGGCUAAUACCGAAUACGUCCGUAAGGAGAAAGAUUUAUCGCUGAAGGAUCGGCCCGCGUCUGAUUAGCUAGUUGGUGAGGUAACGGCUCACCAAGGCGACGAUCAGUAGCUGGCUGAGAGG